UUACGGCCAUAUCAGGUUUAAACAUCGGUUCCCGUACAAUCAACGAAGUUAUGCAAAGUCGAACCUGGUUGUUACCUAGAUGGACGAUCGCUUGGGAAUAGCAGGUGCUGUAAGC
This is a non-coding RNA of Acanthosepion pharaonis, 115 nucleotides long. NCBI's taxonomy places the organism in Eukaryota, Metazoa, Mollusca, Cephalopoda, Sepiida, Sepiidae. The record is from the annotation of a GenBank genome assembly.